Molecule: long non-coding RNA, 8335 nt
Filed under: Sorghum bicolor (sorghum)
Lineage: Eukaryota; Viridiplantae; Streptophyta; Magnoliopsida; Poales; Poaceae
Description: long non-coding RNA (SBIC_LNC010144)
Source: RNAcentral
UGUGGCUCAAGGUCUAGCAAGCAUGUAUAUAUGGCUGUGGUAGGAAUUUAAACUCUCAUCAUACAGGAACUCAUCAUGCAACAUUUUAAAGAUUUUCAAAGAUAAAAUUCUCCAGAAUUCUAGCAUCUCUAGGAACAGAUAAACAGCAGCUCAACCUUCCCAUAUCGUAUCCGUUAACAACUUAGACUUCAGAUCAAGUUUUCAUCCCUAAAGUUUAGGUCUAGAGCAAGCCUUAAAUUAUAACAGUUAUAUCUAAACUUGAGAGAGAACUUCAAAUUUACAAAUUAGGCAGAGCAACUAUUCAUCAUAUCCAUGCUUAAGUUUUAUUAGAUACCGAUUAGCAUAGCCACUUUAUUUUUUUAUUAAACACACUAAGCAAAAUAUAUAUAAGCAUAAAAUCUUUAUUUGGUUUUUCAUAGUUAUGUGUAUUUAUAUUCUAAUAUAGUAUAAGUAUAAAGAUAGAUAGAAAUACUUAUCGAGAUAAAUGGGGGUGCUCUCCCCCAAGCUGAAUUUUGACGUAAUUUCUCUUGAUGUAGCUAGCAGGUGGCAGAGGUGUGUUUGAAAGUCAGCAGUAUUUUGACAGCGAUUAGAAUGUCCUCCAUCUACUAGUCUUCUUGAUUCUUAGAUUCUGUGGAGCUCAAAUAGACAACAAAGCUUGUGGAACUGAUUAAGUGUUAGCAUAAAUAUCUAGCCUUUAUCAUGUUGAGACUCCUUAAUAAAUAUUACUCUCUUUGGUAGGAUCACAAUCUUAUUUUUAUAUUUUCAUCAUUUUUUUUAUAGAGUAGAAAAAAUAUUUAUUUUAUUUUUAUGCCACCACAGUCAAUGUACCUAUGGGUUUUAUGCCAUGAGCAUACUCACAUGGGGCUUACUAUAUUUUUUUUAGCAUUUUUAUUUUCUUUUCAAGAUAGUAUGAUCCUGAUUAACUAAGCAAACUAUAAUUGAAUAAUUGAAAGGAAAAAGAUAACUACCAAGUUUACCUCUUGGCAAGGCGUUCGGUGUUUUUAAGUCCUCCGAAUGGGACUCCUUGUGUUUUCAGUCGUCCUGGGAUUCGCUAGGUGGCGUAGUCGGUGACUCCGGUGGCGCCUCCUCUUUGUGUAUAACUUUGUUCUCUUUCCACACCUGACUCGGUGCUACGGUCUCCUCAGGACAGUUCUGUUCAAGUUGUAUAUCUUCAGUCCUUAUCACUUCUCCUUCGUAGUCUACCCAUCCGUCCUUGAUGAUUUGCCUCCUCUGGUUGCGGUUGCGUUGUCUUCUUCUUGUCCUAACCAGCUUAGAAUCUUCAACUAUAUAAUCAUUAAAGUAGUGGCGUACCUUUCUCAGAGGGGAAGUGCAUAUGGACUUCUCCGGUUCCAAUAUAGAUAAUGGCUUUGAUAGUGUUUAGGAACGGUCUUCCAAGGAUGGUGGAUGGAUCAUACUUGUCUUCUCCCAUGUCAAUGACCUGAAAAUUGUUUGAAGCUGAAUGUAUCUUGGUUGUAGGGGCAUGGUUCCAUGCAGGAGCUGAUAAGUGACUGCGGCCAUUAUGUUGUCGUCAGAUCCGGUGUCGUAGAGUGUCUUCUGAAAAGAGUAUCCGUUGAUUGUGCACUCGAUGCUUGGAACACCAGGGUUGUUCUUCUUAAUCAAGAAAUGUGACUUGAGUCGAUGAUCUUGACCUCCUUGAGCUGCAGUGACCAUCUUAGCUGACUCGGUCCACAUUUGCUUGUUCCUUUUCCUCCUGUUGGUCCUCUUCCUUGGUUUAUGUCGGGAUUGCUCUGAAGCUUGUGUAGUCUUGUUCUUGAAGGAAACUCUCCUUCUUCCCCUUGAUGUAGAGACUGAUCUUGGCAGCAUUAGCGUAGAUGACUGCUCUGGUGUUUAGAAAUGGCCUCCCUAAGAUGAUGGGUGCCCUCUCCUCAGUGCCAGUCUCUAUCACCACGAAGUUUACUGGAGUGUACAAGGUACCAACUCGGACACAGAGGUUCUUCAAUAUUUCCUUUGGGAAACUAAGUGUCUGAUCUCCAUUGUGUAUGUGCUUGUAGAUCCCGGUUCUUCACUUGAUGGAAUCUGGGAGUUGUAAAACGCCUUCACGUUUCUCAAAAAUGUGUCCUGCUCAUAGAGGCAAGGCAGAGAUCAAGUGCAUGGGCCCUAUUGGUGGAAAACACCAACAGAACCAAAAGUGUAUUUGUUCUUCUCUAACCUUAAGCAUAGUGAGCAAGACAAAGUUGAUGGAUCAUGAGUGUAGCAUUUAAAACAUUUGUUAGAUCAGAUGGCUCAACCUAAUGGAAAGAUAAUCUAUCUAUAUUUAUGUUUUGUUUAUAUCUUCCAAAGAUUGAAUGUGCAAUACUUUAGCUUAUACGAUUAGGAGUGUGGGAUCACGAAGGUAGUACUAAGAACAAAGAUUAAAGGACUAAUCAUGUUGAAUUAACUGGGUUGGUUAAUUUGGAGCUACAAAUCAUACAUGUUUGUCUCUAUAUUUUAUGUGAAUGCUAGGACUAAGGAGAAGCUUAUAAAAGUGAUAGUCAAGUACCUUAAGAUGUUACCUUACUUGAAGAGUGAUGGAAUAGUAUCACCUUGUGGAAGCUUUCCUUUCUUAGCGGUUGUGCAUCGUGUUUGUGGCACCCUCCAUGAAUCAUCUCUUUAUGAUGAAUGCGCUAUGUCCUUCUUGUGCAAAAUGUUAAACUUCAUGUGUCUCCUUUAUCUCCAAUGAGUUUGUAUCUCAGGACUUCCCAGGUUGAUAUUGAAAGUUUUCCUGCAGGGGUUAGUCCAACAAAAUAUCCCAUAUCUACUAUAGCAUACUAUCGGCUCAAAAAUCAACCUAGACACCAUGUCUAAUUUGAUUUAGGAGGGCAUUUUAACCUAAGCACCAUGCUUAAUUUAAAAAUCCUUUGGAAGUAAGAUCAUCAUUCCUAAACUAAGCACCAUGCUUGAUUUAAGAGAUAAAUGAAACUACUCCAAACCUAUACAUAUACUAAAGCAAAUAAAGGUACCAUGAGAGCAUUUAUAGCGAUCUACUCAAAUGGAGGUGAAGUAGUGUAAUUAGUACUUAACAAAUUGAGCAUCUCUCAAAGGUAGGGACAAUCAACGUAGCAACAUGGCAGGGGAUGUUUUUAUGUAAAGUACUCCCCUAAGCUCGAAUUUUGCAAAAUUCAAGUUUGGAUGAAUUUAAUUCAAGUUGUGUGAUGGUUGGUUGCACAUACCUUGUGCUUGUCAUUCAUCCGAUCUUCUUGCUCCAAUCCUAGAAAGGUUAGUGACAAGAAUACCCGAAGGAAUAUUUCUACAAUUAUCUUUAUAUGCUCAAUACACAAGGCAAUGUUGCAAAUAAUUAGAAGUGCUUGUUUUAGGACACUAAGCUUGUCCUUGGGAAACCAUCAAUUAACUCAACGAGAUCUGCAAUAUUUAUUAUAGACAUAUGCAUCGACAACCGCUCUUUUAAAGUUUUUAUAAAUAGAAAAGAAGAGAGGGUUGGAGAUCUCAAAUGUGAUAAGGAUGGAGAGACUAAUUGAUUGGAGAGAUGUUUUAUAUGAGCAAGGACUGGGUAAGGUAUUUAUGAAAUAACUUCCAUGCUUACUGUUGUUUCUCUCAUUCUCAAACUCCAAGGAUGAUUCUUCAUGAAUGCUAAAAAUUCCUCUAGGAUUGUCUCUCAAGUUUGUUUUAUCUAUCCAUUCAAUGGUGAUAGCACAUGGAUUUUUAAUGCCCUUUAGCCAUUGAUGUUGCUCUUCUCGAUCCUCCUUCUUAUGCAUGGGAUGUCUAGAUAGAUUCAUAGGAUUAUCGGGAGGUUCAAGAGAAAUAGCAUAGUAGAAUUUAUUAAGCUCAAGGAAGGUGUGGAUAGCCGAAUUAUGGGUUUGAAAUGUUUGGAAAUUGGCUAUUGAAACUUCCUUUCCUUGUCUGAGAGAUGAUUCCUUCUCUACCUCUAAGAUUUUUCUGUGAAGACUAGUACAAGAAGGAUGUCCACGAAUGAAGACAUACCUUCCUUUACUAAUAGAUAAAGAAAGAAGGACUCUACCAAAGGUUAUAUGAUUAAGACCAAUGUGAAAAUAUCUAGGAAAAACAUGGUCUUGUAGGGUUAGGUCUAAACAAGAAUUUAUAGAAAGAUUAAUAGAUUCCCUAGGUGUAGCUAAAAGUGCAUUAUCUUUUUGAUUAAAAGAUAGGACCUCGGCUAUAGAAAAGGGUUGGUUUUGACCUAUUGCAAUCAACUCCAGACACAGAUCAUAGUUAGGGGCAGGACGUGUUGACUCCCAUGGUCUAUGGUUGGUCUCCGAAGGUGCAAAGAAUUUAAUAAUAGGUAUGGAAUUUGAGUUAUCCAUAAAAAUAAAAAGAUAAAAGAAUAAAAGUAUAAAAGUAUAAUACAAGAUAAUAGCAAGACUCAAAAUUAUCUCAGCAUACCGUCUUUCUCCCCGGCAACGGCACCAGAAAUGCUUAUUGAUAUUUGGUAACGCAAUAAGGAAAUGAUCCGCAAACGCACGGAUAUCGGUGAGCAUUUCACCCGGGAGAUUUUCCAGAGUAUCGUAUUUAUAUUUUUACCACUGGGAGAAAGGGUGCAUCUGACUAACCAAAUCUAUUGCUACUACCCCUUUAGGCUACAAAGAAUGUCUCUCGAUGUGAGUGAUGUAUAGAGAAGACUGCAACCGUAGUCUCGUUCUAACCUUGGUAAGGAUGAUCUACUGUUCUAUUGGGGAGGCUCACGGAAUCUAGACAACACAAAGGAUGUUCGACCCGCACCUAUAACCCUACCCGUCCUGCUAACGAGAUGUGAUCUGCAAAGGUAACUCGGAAUUGUCACGUUCCUCGCUACUACCACGGUCCAGCUAGUCAGGGGAUAUCUAUGAGUACCCUAGCCUAAACACCACGUUUACGCUAACAAGUGAUUACUCUAAUACUCAACCGGAAGAGGAUUAAAGUAAACUCAUAAACCAAAGAACAAUAAAACAAGAACUUACUAGUAUUAGAAGUCGAAUUACUGAAGAAUCUUAGAAGCAAGCCUCGGGUUAGGAGACUUGAUCCCGUAGGUACAACUCGGAGUAGACACCGACAGGCCGGCCUUCCUCCGAUCCACACCUCCACUCUAUCUCUCUCAAUCUAGUAGAAACUAGAAGAUCUAUUUCUACUUUACAUUGGAUGCUAAGCCUAAAAAGAAAUAUUAUUUAGAGAAGAGGUUUUCCUUCGAGGGCACCCCUCAAUCUCUAUGAUAAUUUCUUGUCUCCUCCAGGGGCCAGAGGGGGUCUCCUUAUAUAGUCCUCCCCUUCUAUGCGUUUUGGGGUCGAUAGGCGAGGUGGUACUAUGUUAUUCUGGAUCCAAUAGGUCGGUGGAACGUCGUGUGCGAAGAGAGUCCGGAACGGAGUCCAGAGGUGGGCGGGCGCCCUGGGCCUGGCCCCUUUCGGGCUUCGCUUCCUUCCCGUGGCUUCUGGAGUCUUCUAGAUGGUAGAAAAUUGUGCGGUGGGUUGAUAUCUCUAUGUAAUCCCGACAUGUGGGCCUUUCUUCCUUAUUUCCUGAUAACCCCCUGCAGAAAUAGACAAACACCAAAACUCGUGGAAUUCUGUCAGAUAAAACCUUAAGUCUAGAUGUUGAUUUCAUUUGGAUCCUUUUCCUUGUUUAUUUGAUAAUUAAAUUUGAUACUUAAGGACCUUAACUCAGCAAUGGAUUAGAAGUUGUUGCAAUAUCUUUAAAAAUUGAUGAUACACAUGCUUUUUAAAUAAGAUCUCAUCUCUGAGUUAGAGUAAACUAUCAAGACUUAAAACUUACUUACUUUACCUUUUACCAUGGGACUUGUAACCGUCACUUCUGUCUUGAGUGGUUAAAAGAUAGAACAGUCUAUUCAAAUGCCAUGUCUCUUAUUCUUGAUCAGCUAUGGCUCUGGAUUUUUUUUGCAGAUUUUCAAAUAAAACUCAGAGAUUCCUUGUAUGAUUCUCUUAGAUCUCUCUUUUGUGGUAUUUCUGUAUCCUUACCAAGGCAGUGAUGGUAUAUGCCUUCUCUCAAAAAGUAUGUGGUAUUUGUGGUAUAAAGCAUAAUGACAUUACCUUCUCUCUCUCACCCUACUCUAAUAAGGCUUUAAUAUCUGGAGCUCAUAGGUGGGAAAUAAAAUCUACAUACUUAUAAGACAUUUAUUGCAUAGUCAAACCAUGGAUCUAAAGAAACAAAUCAAUAAGUCAAAUCAAGAUGUGCAUGUGUGGCGAAUGAAUGGUGUAUGGUGAUGAUAACAAUGGUGGAAGUCUAAUUCUACUUUUUGCUCUUUGAGGGGAUACAUACCUUCCUUGCUUUUUUUAAAAAAUUUAUGAGGAGAAUGAGAUGCUCUUCUUUUUCUUUUCUCUCAGGUGGGUAUCUUAUACCCCUAAUUCUACUGUCGGACACUUGUCCAUUUUUACCUCUCGUCUCACUUUUUCUUUUCUGUCGAGGUUUCGGGCACUUGCCCCUUUUUAUUUCCUCGUAUCUCUUUUUUUUAGAGCACUCAUCUCUUGAGAGAAUAUAGCAAGUGGUAGUAACAAGAAAACUUGAGCAUUUAUUUCACAGGGAAAAACAGAAAUAUUUUUGGCUAUUCUCUCCCGGAUUAGGAGUAGAAUAUUUUUGGGUGGUUCUGGAGAUGGAAAUGGAUGGAUAUAUAUGGAUGGUACUUCCGGAGUAGAAGUAGCAUAUGUGAGUGGACGUGCAAGUGAAUCUUGAUUUAACCACAUGACAAGCUUCUAAGGGUCUACACAGCUUGACCACACUCAAUGCUCAUAAGCAUUAAAUAGUAAAUGUGUGGCUCAAAAUCUAGCAAGCAUGUAUAUCUGGCUGUGGUAGGAAUUUAAACUCUCAUCAUACAGGAACUCAUCAUGCAAUAUUUUAAAGAUUUUCAAAGAUAAAAUUCUCCAGAAUUCUAGCAACUCUAGGAACAGAUAAACAGCAGCUCAACCUUCCCAUAUCGUAUCUGUUAACAACUUAGGCUUCAGAUCAAGUUUUCAUCCCACAAGUUUAGGUCUAGAGCAAGCUUUAAAUUAUAACAGUUAUAUCUAAACUUGAGAGAGAACUUAAAAUGUGCAAAUUAGGCAGAGCAACUAUUCAUCAUAUCCAUGCUAGAGUUUUAUUUAGAUACAGAUUAGCAUAGCCACUUUAUUUAUUUAUUAAACAUACUAAGCAAAAGAUAUAUAUAUAAGCACAAAAUCUUUAUUUAGGUUUUCAUAGUUAUAUAUAUUUAUAUUUUAAUAUAAACUAUAAAGAUAGAUAGAAAUACUUAGCGGGAUAAAUGGGGGUGCUCUCCCCCAAGCUGAAUUUUGACGUAAUUUCUUUUGAUGUAGCUAGCAGGUGGCAGAGGUGUAUUUGAAAGUCAGCAGCAUUCUGACAGCGAUUAGAAUGUCCUCCGUCUGCUAGUCUUCUCGAUUCUUAAAUUCUGUGGAGCUCAAAUAGACAACAAAGCUUGUGGAACUGAUUAAGUGUUAGCAUAAAUAUCUAGCCUUUAUCAUGUUGAGACUCCUUAAUAAUUAUUAUUCCCUGUUUUUAUAUUUUCGUUUUUAUAGAGCAGAAAAGAAAUAUUUAUUUUAUUUGUUAUGCCACCACAGUGAAUGUACUUAUGGGUUUCAUGCCACUCGUAUACUCACAUGGGGCUUACUAUUUUUCAUAUUUUUAUUUUCUUUUUAGGAUAGUAUGAACAUAAUUAACUAAGUAAACUAUUGAAAGUAACUGAAAGAGGAAGGAUAACUACCAAGUUUACCUCUUGGCAAGGCGUUCGGUGCUUUUAAGUCCUCCGAACGGGACUCUACGUUUUCUCAAUUGUCCUGAGGUUCGUUGGGUGGCGUAGUCGGUACUUCCGGCAGCGCCUCUUCUUCACGUAUAGUUAUCUUCUCUUUCCAUACCUGACUCGGUGCUUCGGUCUCCUCUAGAUAAUUCUGUUUAAACUCUACGUCUUCUGACCUUAUCACUUCUCCUUCGUAGUCUGCCCAUCCGUCCUUGAUGAUCUGGUUCCUCUGGUUGCGGUUGCGUCGUUUUCUUACCUGCUUAGAUUCUUCAACGAUAUAGUUAGGGUCAGUAAAAUAACAGCGUACCUUCUCUGAGGGAAAGUGCAUAUGGACUUCUCCGGUUCCAAUAUAGAUAAUUGCUUUAAUGGUGCUGAGGAACGGUCUUCCAAGGAUGAUGGGUGGAUCGUAUUCGUCUUCUCCCAUGUCAAUAACCUGAAAGUCUGUGUAGACAAAAUGAUCGUCUAUUUUGACUGGGACAUCAGUUACUAUUCCUUUAACUUCUCGAAAUGUCUGAUCUGCCAUCUGGAGCUGAAUGUAUGUUGGUUUUAGUGGCAUGGUUCCGAACAAGAGCCGAUAGGUGACUGCGGCCAUUAUGUUGACGCCCGAUCCGGUGUCGCAAGUCGUCUUGUAGAAGUUGUAUCUAUUUAUGGAGCAAU